ACCUACGGGGGGCAGCAGUGAGGAAUAUUGGUCAAUGGUCGGGAGACUGAACCAGCCAAGCCGCGUGAGGGAUGAAGGUACAGAGUAUCGUAAACCUCUUUUGUCAGGGAACAAAGGCGGGGACGUGUCCCCGGAUGAGUGUACCUGAAGAAAAAGCAUCGGCUAACUCCGUGCCAGCAGCCGCGGUAAUACGGAGGGUGCGAGCGUUAUCCGGAUUUAUUGGGUUUAAAGGGUGCGCAGGCGGUCUGUUAAGUCAGCGGUCAAAGCCCGGGGCUCAACCCCGGCCCGCCGUUGAAACUGGCAGG
This 305-nucleotide ribosomal RNA is filed under the name uncultured bacterium. RNAcentral's name for it is "bacterial SSU rRNA". It matches the Rfam family "Bacterial small subunit ribosomal RNA", at positions 337 to 640 of the family's 1533-position model. The record is from RNAcentral.